AAAAUCUCAAGCCAAGCUGUUUUGACAUUGGUCGAAAAAGCCUGGAUUUUGGAGUGUGGGAGGUCUGCAGGCGUCCCGAUCUUGGGACUGCCAGCUCUCCUGAAAUGCAUUAGUGGGAUGGGCAUUGCGACCAGCCUCUUCGACGUCGUAACGCGAUCGUCGUGGACUUGUGAGCUUUCCCCCCCUUGACUUUGCUAUUGGUGAAGGCUUGACCUCAAAUCAGG
This 224-nucleotide unclassified non-coding RNA is filed under the name Pisolithus tinctorius. RNAcentral describes it as "ITS2". The record is from RNAcentral. Lineage: Eukaryota; Fungi; Basidiomycota; Agaricomycetes; Boletales; Pisolithaceae.